UACGAAGGGUGCAAGCGUUACUCGGAAUUACUGGGCGUAAAGCGUGCGUAGGCGGUUUGUUAAGUCCGCUGUGAAAGCCCUGGGCUCAACCUGGGAAUUGCAGUGGAUACUGGCAAGCUAGAGUGCGGUAGAGGAUGGUGGAAUUCCCGGUGUAGCGGUGAAAUGCGUAGAUAUCUGAAGGAACAUCAGUGGCGAAAGCGACCUCCUGGACCAAUACUGACGCUCAGGUGCGAAAGCGUGGGGAGCGAGUCCGG
RNAcentral lists this ribosomal RNA (254 nucleotides) under uncultured bacterium. Its description in RNAcentral is "partial 16S ribosomal RNA". It matches the Rfam family "Bacterial small subunit ribosomal RNA", at positions 524 to 777 of the family's 1533-position model. The record is from RNAcentral.